GACGAACCGUGCGAACGUUGUUCGGAAUCACUGGGCUUAAAGGGCGCGUAGGCGGGCUGCCAAGUCUGGGGUGAAAUCCUCCGGCUCAACCGGGGAAGUGCCUCGGAUACUGGCGGCCUCGAGGGGGGUAGGGGCAUGCGGAACUGUGGGUGGAGCGGUGAAAUGCGUUGAUAUCCACAGGAACUCCGGUGGCGAAGGCGGCAUGCUGGACCUUCACUGACGCUGAGGCGCGAAAGCCAGGGGAGCGAACGGG
Molecule: ribosomal RNA, 253 nt
Filed under: uncultured bacterium
Lineage: Bacteria
Description: partial 16S ribosomal RNA
Rfam family: Bacterial small subunit ribosomal RNA
Source: RNAcentral